UACAGAGACUGCAAGCGUUAUUCGGAUUCACUGGGCGUAAAGGGUGCGCAGGCGGCUAGAUGUGUCAGGUGUGAAAUCCCGAGGCUCAACCUCGGAACUGCGCCUGAAACUAUUUAGCUAGAGUAUUGGAGAGGGUAACGGAAUUCACGGUGUAGCAGUGAAAUGCGUAGAUAUCGUGAGGAACACCAGAGGCGAAGGCGGUUACCUGGACAAUUACUGACGCUCAGGCACGAAAGCGUGGGGAGCAAAA
This 250-nucleotide ribosomal RNA is filed under the name uncultured bacterium. Its description in RNAcentral is "partial 16S ribosomal RNA". It matches the Rfam family "Bacterial small subunit ribosomal RNA", at positions 524 to 773 of the family's 1533-position model. The record is from RNAcentral.